UCUCCUCGCUUUUCCAACUCCUUCCUUCCUUCCUUCCUCCUUCCUUCCUUCCUUCCUCCUCCUCCUGAGAGAGCGCAGAGGCGCAGGAACACAUCCCCUCCUCAGCCUCCUCCCCUCUCCUCUUGGAUUCCCCAAUGCAAAGAGCCCUUCUGCCUCCGCCUCCUAUUGCAAUUAUGUACCACACACACAUAUGUAUAUACAAAAAAAACCACACUUGCUCUUGCAGCGGUUUCUUUCUCCAGCUCAAAGCAGGAGAAACUCUCAAUCUCCGUAGAAAGGCUUUCGGAUUCCCCCACCCUACUUUCCCAAGGGGAAGUGAAAACAACAGCCCUGCCGCAUUCUUGAGAGACUCAUUUACCUCUCCCCCCCCCUUUUUCCUAAUAACGUGAUCAGGUCCUCGGCUGCAUAACACUCUGGACCUGAGAAAUGUCGGAACUACUUUCAGGAACAUACGCAGCAAGAGGAAGAGCAGCGGCGCAAGCACAAAGGAGACUAACCGACUAAGGAGACUAACCGGAGGCUGCUGCUUUCUGCAGAACCUGAGAUCUUGGAAAUACUUAUCUUCUCUAGAACCAUCUACACUGGCAUCUUCCGAUGGGCUCCCUGAGAUGUUUGAAGCUGGGAAAUCUUCAGUAUUAACACAGUCUGUGUUGACACAUGGGAAUUACCCCUGGGAUGUGCAGAACCCUACUGAGGCUCAGAAUAUCCUCAGAUCCCCCAAACCCUCUAACAUUAACUGAUGAGUUCUGAUGUUGAAGAAAUAACAGUUAUGAGGUUCUGAAAGGCUGUACCACAUACCAGCCAAGCAGUGCAUUUUGCAAUAGGCUUGGCCCUACUACCAUUAAUUGAUGCACAGCAGUCAAGAUGGAAAAGUUCGCUGUUUGAGAAAUGACAAAAUCUGGGAUUUACUCCCGGUGCUCUUCUUGCAAAACUGGCUUGUUUCUGUGCUGAUGCGAUUGUAUGCCAGAAAUCAAUGACAAAUGGUAUUAUAUAGGAACCCAUUGAGGUAAAAUUUUGGGGUUUGGUUGGUUAAACACACAGAUUCGUAACUCUGUAUACUGAUUGUAUUCUUCUAUUCAGUGCUUAUUUUAUGUAUU
Long non-coding RNA from Rhineura floridana, 1097 nucleotides. RefSeq lists it as uncharacterized. The transcript is spliced from 5 exons. Lineage: Eukaryota; Metazoa; Chordata; Lepidosauria; Squamata; Rhineuridae. The record is from RefSeq and is a predicted model, not a curated record.